Non-coding RNA from Parelaphostrongylus tenuis, 74 nucleotides. Lineage: Eukaryota; Metazoa; Nematoda; Chromadorea; Rhabditida; Metastrongylidae. The record is from the annotation of a GenBank genome assembly.
GCGUCGGUAGUGCAAUGGUCCUAGCACGCGCACCCGGACAGGGCGAAACGUAAAUUCGAGUCCCAGCUGACGCA